AUUGAACGCUGGCGGCAGGCCUAACACAUGCAAGUCGAGCGGAUGAAGGGAGCUUGCUCCUGGAUUCAGCGGCGGACGGGCGAGUAAUGCCUAGGAAUCUGCCUGGUAGUGGGGGAUAACGUCCGGAAACGGGCGCUAAUACCGCAUACGUCCUGAGGGAGAAAGUGGGGGAUCUUCGGACCUCACGCUAUCAGAUGAGCCUAGGUCGGAUUAGCUAGUUGGUGGGGUAAAGGCCUACCAAGGCGACGAUCCGUAACUGGUCUGAGAGGAUGAUCAGUCACACUGGAACUGAGACACGGUCCAGACUCCUACGGGAGGCAGCAGUGGGGAAUAUUGGACAAUGGGCGAAAGUCUGAUCCAGCCAUGCCGCGUGUGUGAAGAAGGUCUUCGGAUUGUAAAGCACUUUAAGUUGGGAGGAAGGGCAGUAAGUUAAUACCUUGCUGUUUUGACGUUACCAACAGAAUAAGCACCGGCUAACUUCGUG
This 484-nucleotide ribosomal RNA is filed under the name uncultured bacterium. RNAcentral describes it as "partial 16S ribosomal RNA". It matches the Rfam family "Bacterial small subunit ribosomal RNA", at positions 30 to 507 of the family's 1533-position model. The record is from RNAcentral.